RNAcentral lists this long non-coding RNA (859 nucleotides) under Mytilus galloprovincialis (Mediterranean mussel). The record is from RNAcentral. Lineage: Eukaryota; Metazoa; Mollusca; Bivalvia; Mytilida; Mytilidae.
AUAAAUCUCAUGAACCGUAAGUCGUAAAGACUGCGGGUCUUCAGAUUUGAGUUCAUUGGACCAAAACUUAAAAAUAUAGGUCAAGGUCAAAGGUCAAGGUCAUAUUUUAGAUUUUCAAAAGUUUUUCAUUUCCCUAUAACUAUUGAACGGUUAUAGAUACAGAAAAUUUAAGCAGUGAAAAAUGAUUGGUACUUUAAGGGGCAACUUUUUUACAUUAUGACUAUAUUGAUUUUACCAUCAUGUAAGGGACAUAACUCCCACUAAUGGUUUUUAAAAAGCCAUUUUUAGGCAAAACUCUUAAACAAAAGGUCCUUGACCCAUAGGGUCUUUUGCAAUGACCUUGUGGAGCAAUGACCUUGACGAAGGUCACAAGGUCAAAGGUCAAGGUCAUCAAAUUAUGUGGUUUUUGGCACUAUUUAAACAGUUUUAUGUGUGUUUGAAUCCAAACCAACCAACCAACCAACCAACCAAUCAAUCAUUCAAUCAAUUAAUCAAUCAAUCAAUCAAUGUUUCCGUUUAAUGUGUUUCAUAAGGGAUCCAAGGUGGUUUUUUUUUGCUUGUUUUAAUUGAGCCUAUUAAACGUGUUUAAUCAACCAACGUGUUUAACCAGCAUAUUUAACCGACGUGUUUAACCAACCAACCAAUCAAUCAAUCAAUCAAUCAUUCAAUACAUGUUUCCGUUUCAUGUGUUUAAUACGGAAUCCAAGGUCUCUUUUUUUCGCUUGUUGCAAGAGACCCUGUAUCAAGUGUUUAACUAAUAAACCAACCAACCAACCAACCAACUAAUCAAUAAAUUUAUCAAUCAAUAUAUAUAUAUGAUAUAUUUAUUUAUGACAGUAUAAUUAAAAGAAAAUGGAAG